GUGCCAGCAGCCGCGGUAAGACGAACCGUGCGAACGUUGUUCGGAAUCACUGGGCUUAAAGGGCGCGUAGGCGGGCUGCCAGGUCAGAGGUGAAAUCCCACGGCUCAACCGUGGAAGCGCCCCUGAUACCGGCGGCCUCGAGGGAGGUAGGGGCGUGCGGAACUUCCGGUGGAGCGGUGAAAUGCGUAGAUAUCGGAAGGAACACCGGUGGCGAAAGCGGCGCGCUGUACCUCUACUGACGCUGAGGCGCGAAAGCCAGGGGAGCAAACGGGAUUAGAUACCCCGGUAGUCC
Molecule: ribosomal RNA, 292 nt
Filed under: uncultured bacterium
Lineage: Bacteria
Description: partial 16S ribosomal RNA
Rfam family: Bacterial small subunit ribosomal RNA
Source: RNAcentral